AUGAUGAGGAACCGGAUGUUGAUCCAUAUGUACAGCAGACAUCAACGGGAACUGCUCCGUCACGCCGUGCUCCAAAAAGGAAGAUACGGGUUUCACCUAUACCAGAAGAAGAAGAGUUCGCUGAGGAGGAGUCAGACGAAGAUGAUGAAAUGGAAGUACCACAAGAUGUUGAAGACGACGGGGAGUCGGAUGAGGAUGAAUCAGAGGAGGAGGACAAAGAGGAGGAGGACAAAGAAGAAGAGGAUGAUGAUGAUGAUGAUGAUCAGGAGGAGGAGAAGGAAGAGAAGGAGGAGGAGGAAGAGGAGGACAAAGGAAAAGAGGACAAAGGAGAGGAGGAGGGCAAGGAAGAAGAUAGUGAGGUAG
This 363-nucleotide ribosomal RNA is filed under the name Triticum aestivum (bread wheat). Its description in RNAcentral is "partial small subunit ribosomal RNA". The record is from RNAcentral. Lineage: Eukaryota; Viridiplantae; Streptophyta; Magnoliopsida; Poales; Poaceae.